RNA transcript from Gadus chalcogrammus (walleye pollock), 1804 nucleotides. RefSeq lists it as uncharacterized. Lineage: Eukaryota; Metazoa; Chordata; Actinopteri; Gadiformes; Gadidae. The record is from RefSeq and is a predicted model, not a curated record. The transcript has 5 exons.
AGUAUGCACGUGGUUGCUGUCACCAAUUAUUCUAAUCAAGCACUUUUGUUUUGUACGUGUAGAGCUUCACCAGAGCUUUUAGCAAUGGCUCGGUUUUUCAACGUUUUGCUGGCAUAUGUAGGCCUAGCUGUAGUCCAAUCAGAUUUAAAGAGUAGGCCUACUUCGCGCACAGACGGGUUGCCCUACCACUACCGUGGACAAUGGAUUCUCCCCAACGACGGUCAUCCAUACGGGGAACAAUCAGAAGAAGACUCGCUUGAGGCACGGACCACCUGGCCCGCUGUGAUGCAGACCGCUGCUCUGGUGGUCACCGAGCAGGAGGCUCCACAGCUGGAGACCAAGCAGGAGCCGCGCGACCUGGAGGAGCAGGAUGAUGUUGAAGACUCUACCUGGUGGAAGGGUUUAGUGUUGGCAGCCGUCCUGUUGGUGUCUGCUAUGGCCACUCUCAGCGUGGUCUAUUACCUGUGUGUCUGGAGAGGCGGGCGGAUCUACUACCAGCCCCAGCACGACCUUUCCUCUGGGAUGUGAACAAUAUGAACUCCUGUAAAUACGCUUCUUUUUGGAGCAAUAAAAUUACUUUGAAAAUGUGUUUGUUGAUCAGAGCAACAUGCUGCUGUACUUGGACCAGGAGAGGACCCGUCCCUUUCCUGGGCCCUUGUUUCAACAACAAGAGAACCCAGCAACAUACUACUUGGACCAGGGGCUCAGGCAUUCCAUUAGCUUGGUGUGCAUUCAAAGCACAGCCCCCGCCCCUCUGCCUUCAAAUGCUUCACUGCCCCACUCCCUUCAAAUGCCCCACUCCCUUCAAAUGCCCCACUGCCUUCAAAGGCCUCAGUUGUCACUGAGACUUUCUUGAAGGACCACACUCUAUUCCUAAUUGACCGCAAUUAGAAGCAGAGGGUAGGGGCCCUCCCAGGUCCCUCCAGGACCUGAGCCAGCGCCUGAAGCUGGCCAGGAACUCAAAGAAGCUGCUGUGGGAGGAGAUUGCUGGCAAGCUGACCAACCAUUUCAAACAUACCUUUCCCCCAGACAAGGUAGCUCGCAAAUGGAACACGUUGGUGGAGGCGUACAAAAAAUUGAAGGACCACAAUUCGUCCACAGGGAGGGGCCCUGGUAAAUUUCAGUUUUAUACUGAGAUGGAUGACCUCAUGGGAGGUCACCACGACAUAGUCUUCCCUGUUGUGGGAACAGCCAUGGGCCUGGAUGUGCGCAGGCCAGGUGCCCUGCAGGUCAGUGUGUCUGCACCAGAUGCCAUCACCUCCUCCGUCAUCCCGCGGUGCUCCUCACACAGCUACCACCAUGCCCCCUGCUGACACCCCAAGGAGACCACGCAAGCGCCAGAGGGAGGAGGACCUGUUGGCGUUCCUUAGGGAGUCCGAGGCAGCCUCCCAAGCGGCCGCCCAAAAACGGCACGCUGAGACCCUGGCACAAAUGAAGGAAGCCCAGGAGGGGCUCCAGAGUUUGCUUGGCCAGAUGGUGGAGAAGAUGUGAAAUCAUUUUGUUUCUUUUUCAUUGGAAAUGUUAAUGUAUUUUGGUUAAUGUUCAAAUCUUUUAUAGAUAUUUUAUAUUAUAUUUUAUGUAAUUUGAUAUAUUGUAUUUAAUGCCUUUUUACUGUAAAUAGUUGAGAACACUGAAAGCACUGAAACCUGUUCACUUUUCCCUGUUUUGUUGUUUGUCCGUGGGCCCUGUUUUGUUGUUUGUCCUUGGCCCGGAGGAUAGAAAGAGGAAACAAGGCACACUUCUGUGCAAUAUCAAUUGUUUUCAAUAAAAUCUAAUUUGAAUAUCAACCAAGCCUUGUCAUGGU